RNAcentral lists this ribosomal RNA (385 nucleotides) under uncultured bacterium. Its description in RNAcentral is "bacterial SSU rRNA". It matches the Rfam family "Bacterial small subunit ribosomal RNA", at positions 30 to 417 of the family's 1533-position model. The record is from RNAcentral.
ACUGAACGCUGGCGGAAUGCUUUACACAUGCAAGUCGAACGGCAGCACGGGGCAACCUGGUGGCGAGUGGCGAACGGGUGAGUAAUACAUCGGAACGUGCCCAAUCGUGGGGGAUAACGUAGCGAAAGCUACGCUAAUACCGCAUACGAUCUACGGAUGAAAGCGGGGGAUCGCAAGACCUCGCGCGAAUGGAGCGGCCGAUGGCAGAUUAGGUAGUUGGUGGGGUAAAGGCUCACCAAGCCUGCGAUCUGUAGCUGGUCUGAGAGGACGACCAGCCACACUGGAACUGAGACACGGUCCAGACUCCUACGGGAGGCAGCAGUGGGGAAUUUUGGACAAUGGCGGCAAGCCUGAUCCAGCCAUUCCGCGUGCAGGAUGAAGGCCC